Long non-coding RNA from Oncorhynchus tshawytscha (Chinook salmon), 1043 nucleotides. The record is from Ensembl. NCBI's taxonomy places the organism in Eukaryota, Metazoa, Chordata, Actinopteri, Salmoniformes, Salmonidae.
CUGUGUUCAGUGGGGCUACAAGCCUGGUGCGUCGACAUGCAUCCCAUAAUAGCAUACACUAAAUAGAGAAAAGGGUAUUUUCAGUAUUUUCAAAUGAAGUUAAUAGUUUAUGAACACAUUUGUUAUUGUCUUUCCGACUAUGGUCAGCUAUUAAGAGAUAUAAUGGAGCGCUAUUAUGCAAGUACCCCCCUUGCAAACGCAUAGGAGAAAUGGGUGUUUUUAAGUAGCCUAUUCAACAGCAGAGCUCUUCCCGUCCCCCGUCUCAGACACUGCACUGAGACUCCCGGUCUUGUCUCCAGCUCUUUGAAAAGGUGAAACGAAUAAGAUUAAAUCGGACAAAGAAUAUUCUGUAAGUGUAUCAUUAAGAUUUUACUAUACAGAUUGGGAAGGGAGUUGGACGGAGAGAGAGAGAGUGGAAGGGGGGGGGACAGCGAAUAAGAGUAGAGGGAAAUAAGGCUAUAGCACGAAAACAGUGAGAAAAACGAGAAAGUGGACAGCAGGACAUUAAAAGAAGAAGCACCCAGCGACGAAUAUUAGGCUAUGGUGGACGGAAAACAUCGGUAACUGAAUUUGGCUAACACCUGCCAGGCAAUGAGCGACUGUGCAAACUGAUCGUGCCAUACUGAAAGGAACGUCAUGAAUGCUCCUCCACAGAAUCCUGCCACCUGUGUCAGUGAAAAUAAAAAGAAAGGCUAUUGGUAUUCCUCUUUGAGGCUGGUUAAGGUAAGUGCCAGCCCCCAUUACGAUGACAAGGCAAGUAAUGAUGCCGCUUGUUCCGCGGUUCCCCAUGAUUUAUUUAUGCUUUCCCAGGGAGUGAUCCUACCACCUCCAUCCCCAGUCCUACCCACUCGCGACAUUUUUUAAGAACACAUGCAGUCGCCACAGGUUAACGUCGGCGCCGCCAUUGCAUGUCUCAGGCGGACCAUACGGGAACGCAGGAGGCUGAUGCAAUGAUGUGCUGGGAUACCCUGAGUUUUAAUCACGUGUAACUGUAGCAUUACAGUCAGAGAAAGCAAAAGAAUUGUCCAAAUAAAAGAAUCAAU